Molecule: non-coding RNA, 262 nt
Filed under: Phoenicopterus ruber ruber
Lineage: Eukaryota; Metazoa; Chordata; Aves; Phoenicopteriformes; Phoenicopteridae
Description: Eukaryotic small subunit ribosomal RNA
Rfam family: Eukaryotic small subunit ribosomal RNA
Source: Rfam by way of RNAcentral
UUUGAGCACCAUGGGAAACCUCAUCCAGCCUAGACACAGACAGGACUGACAGAUUGAGAGCUCUUUCUCAGUUCCAUAGGUGGUGAUGUCCAGCCAUUCUUGGUGGAGCGGUUUGUCUGGAUAAUUGCAAUAACAAACAAGACUCUGGCAUGCUAACUAGUUAUGCGACCUCUCAGUGGUUGACAUCCAACUUCUUCAAGGGACAAGUGGCCUUCAGCAACUAGAUCGAGUAACAACAGGUCUGUGAUGCCCUUUACUGUGA